RNAcentral lists this unclassified non-coding RNA (290 nucleotides) under Sebacinales sp. RNAcentral's name for it is "partial contains 5.8S ribosomal RNA, internal transcribed spacer 2, and large subunit ribosomal RNA". The record is from RNAcentral. Lineage: Eukaryota; Fungi; Basidiomycota; Agaricomycetes; Sebacinales.
CGCACCUUGCACCCUUUGGUAUUCCGAAGGGUAUGCCCGUUUGAGUGUCAUUGUAAUCUCACACUUCAGACUUCUUGUCUGGAGAGGUGGACUUGGAGGCUGCUGAUGUCUAACGUUAGCUCUUCUGAAAUGCAUUAGUGUGCUGUUGUCGGCAUUACAACCAGUGUUAUAAAUUCUCGCUGCGCUUUGUUGACUCUGUGCAGCUGCGCUAUCAAAUCGUCCCUCGGGACUGCUGUUGCAGCAUUUGACAACUUGACCUCAAAUCGGGUAGGACUACCCGCUGAACUUAA